CCUACGGGAGGCAGCAGUGGGGAAUCUUGCGCAAUGGGCGAAAGCCUGACGCAGCCAUGCCGCGUGAAUGAUGAAGGUCUUAGGAUUGUAAAAUUCUUUCACCGGGGACGAUAAUGACGGUACCCGGAGAAGAAGCCCCGGCUAACUUCGUGCCAGCAGCCGCGGUAAUACGAAGGGGGCUAGCGUUGCUCGGAAUUACUGGGCGUAAAGGGAGCGUAGGCGGAUAGUUUAGUCAGAGGUGAAAGCCCAGGGCUCAACCUUGGAAUUGCCUUUGAUACUGGCUAUCUUGAGUACGGAAGAGGUAUGUGGAACUCCGAGUGUAGAGGUGAAAUUCGUAGAUAUUCGGAAGAACACCAGUGGCGAAGGCGACAUACUGGUCCGUUACUGACGCUGAGGCUCGAAAGCGUGGGGAGCAAACAGGAUUAGAUACCCUGGUAGUCCACGCUGUAAACGAUGAGUGCUAGUUGUCGGCAUGCAUGCAUGUCGGUGACGCAGCUAACGCAUUAAGCACUCCGCCUGGGGAGUACGGUCGCAAGNUUAAAACUCAAAUGAAUUGACGGCUGAGAGNGCGAGCGACACGAGGGAGGAGG
This 590-nucleotide ribosomal RNA is filed under the name uncultured bacterium. Its description in RNAcentral is "bacterial SSU rRNA". It matches the Rfam family "Bacterial small subunit ribosomal RNA", at positions 338 to 944 of the family's 1533-position model. The record is from RNAcentral.